RNAcentral lists this transfer RNA (86 nucleotides) under Actinomycetota bacterium. Its description in RNAcentral is "tRNA-Leu". It matches the Rfam family "tRNA". Rfam says of the family: Transfer RNA (tRNA) molecules are approximately 80 nucleotides in length. Their secondary structure includes four short double-helical elements and three loops (D, anti-codon, and T loops). The record is from RNAcentral. Lineage: Bacteria; Bacillati; Actinomycetota.
GCCCGAGUGGCGGAAUGGCAGACGCGACGGACUCAAAAUCCGUUGUCCGAAAGGGCAUGUGGGUUCGAGUCCCACCUCGGGCACCA